AUACGUAGGGCGCGAGCGUUGUUCGGAAUUACUGGGCGUAAAGCGCGUGUAGGUGGCCAGGUAAGUCAGGUGUGAAAGCCCUCGGCUCAACCGGGGAAGUGCACCUGAAACUGCCUGGCUAGAGGGCGGCAGAGGGAGGUGGAAUUCCUGGUGUAGAGGUGAAAUUCGUAGAUAUCAGGAGGAAUACCGGUGGCGAAGGCGGCCUCCUGGACCGUUCCUGACACUGAGGUGCGAAAGCGUGGGGAGCAAACAGGAUUAGAAACCCUAGUAGUCC
This 274-nucleotide ribosomal RNA is filed under the name uncultured bacterium. RNAcentral's name for it is "partial 16S ribosomal RNA". It matches the Rfam family "Bacterial small subunit ribosomal RNA", at positions 523 to 796 of the family's 1533-position model. The record is from RNAcentral.